GUGCUUGUUUCAGCAGUGCGUAUACUAAAAUUGGAACAAAAUAGAGAAGAUUAGCAUGGCGCCUACACCAGGAUGACACACAAAUUUGUGAAGCAUUUCAUAUUGAA
Octodon degus (degu) is the source of this 107-nucleotide small nuclear RNA. The record is from Ensembl. NCBI's taxonomy places the organism in Eukaryota, Metazoa, Chordata, Mammalia, Rodentia, Octodontidae.